GCCCCCGUGGCGGAAUGGUAGACGCAGCGGACUGUUAAUCCGUGGCCUAGCAGCAUGCCGGUUCGAAUCCGGUCGAGGGCGCCA
Molecule: transfer RNA, 84 nt
Filed under: Devosia nanyangense
Lineage: Bacteria; Pseudomonadati; Pseudomonadota; Alphaproteobacteria; Hyphomicrobiales; Devosiaceae
Description: tRNA-Asn
Rfam family: tRNA
About the family: Transfer RNA (tRNA) molecules are approximately 80 nucleotides in length. Their secondary structure includes four short double-helical elements and three loops (D, anti-codon, and T loops). Further hydrogen bonds mediate the characteristic L-shaped molecular structure. tRNAs have two regions of fundamental functional importance: the anti-codon, which is responsible for specific mRNA codon recognition, and the 3' end, to which the tRNAs corresponding amino acid is attached (by aminoacyl-tRNA synthetases). tRNAs cope with the degeneracy of the genetic code in two manners: having more than one tRNA (with a specific anti-codon) for a particular amino acid; and 'wobble' base-pairing, i.e. permitting non-standard base-pairing at the 3rd anti-codon position.
Source: RNAcentral